RNAcentral lists this ribosomal RNA (117 nucleotides) under bacterium. RNAcentral also lists the same sequence under 3 other names. The record is from RNAcentral.
UCCGGUGACUUUGGCGGAGGGGUCACACCUCUUCCCAUUCCGAACAGAGUCGUUAAGCCCUCCUGCGCCGAUGGUACUGCCUUGGUAACGAGGUGGGAGAGUAGGUCGUUGCCGGGA